GGCACUUUGGCCGAGUGGUCUAAGGCGCCGUGUUCAGGCUUCGGAUCUGUUCCUUGGAAUGGGUCCUCCUCUUCGCGGUCUAGUAAUAGGCGAGGGUUCGAAUCCCUCAGGUGUCA
Molecule: transfer RNA, 116 nt
Organism: Claviceps purpurea 20.1
Lineage: Eukaryota; Fungi; Ascomycota; Sordariomycetes; Hypocreales; Clavicipitaceae
Rfam family: tRNA
About the family: Transfer RNA (tRNA) molecules are approximately 80 nucleotides in length. Their secondary structure includes four short double-helical elements and three loops (D, anti-codon, and T loops).
Source: Rfam